Propithecus coquereli (Coquerel's sifaka) is the source of this 829-nucleotide long non-coding RNA. RefSeq lists it as uncharacterized. NCBI's taxonomy places the organism in Eukaryota, Metazoa, Chordata, Mammalia, Primates, Indriidae. The record is from RefSeq and is a predicted model, not a curated record. The transcript has 3 exons.
GCUUGGUCAGCUGAGUGGCCGGUUGGCAGUGUUCUCACCCCAUGGCCUGCCUGGUUGCUUGGUGGGACUCAUCACCGCCACCCCAGAUGGGGCUCCCCCUGGACCACAGCUGAGGUCAGCAGGGGGACUGCGGCCGAGCCCCCAUUCUAGAUGCCACACAGCCCACACCCUGAGGACCCAGACCCAGCACUGGCGCGAUACUGCCCCCCAAUGUCCAGGGCAUCCUGGGGCAGGUUCCCAAGCAUCGUGUGACACAGGGUGUUCUCCCCUCCCCGUCCCCACUAUCCACACACACAGCAAGGCCAGGCAGGCUUUUGUACCAGGGGAUUUUCGGCAGGUGCUUUCUCUCUGUCCCUCAGGAUGUGACGGGCGGGAUCCCUGCCAUUGGUGUGGUGGAAACUAGAGCUGGGUCGGCGGCGGAGGCCUGGUCCUCUGCUCCCCGCCCCCACCUCCCAAACGGGAUCUGCUGUGCAUCGGACACAUCUCGGUUCCUCACACGUGCCACUGAAACCAGAGAGGAAUGUCUGUCCCGAGGCCAGACCAGGAGCUACAGGAGGGCAGAGGCCAUAUCCUGAGCAUUUCUGCCCCCAGCUCUGUGCCUGGCUUAACCACAGGAAUUAUCUCUUGGAGUCUCCCCACAGGUUCAGCGUUGCUGACCUCCAGCAGAUCGCAGAGGGGGCGUAUGAAGGAUUCCUCAAGGCCCUGAUCGAAUCUGCCUCCCAGCACGUCUACCGCUGCGACCUGUGCACCCAGCGUGGCUUCAUUUGCCGGAUCUGCCACCACCACGACAUCAUCUUCCCCUUUGAGUUUGACACCACAGCCAGGUAUG